CUUAACACAUGCAAGUCGAGCGAUGAACCACUUNNGUGGGGAUUAGUGGCGAACGGGUGAGUAACACGUGGGCAAUCUGCCCUGCACUCUGGGACAAGCCCUGGAAACGGGGUCUAAUACCGGAUAUCACUUCCACUCGCAUGGGUGGGGGUCGAAAGCUCCGGCGGUGCAGGAUGAGCCCGCGGCCUAUCAGCUUGUUGGUGAGGUAACGGCUCACCAAGGCGACGACCUCUGUAGCCGGCCUGAGAGGGCGACCGGCCACACUGGGACUGAGACACGGCCCAGACUCCUACGGGAGGCAGCAGUGGGGAAUAUUGCACAAUGGGCGAAAGCCUGAUGCAGCGACGCAACGUGAGGGAUGACGGCCUUCGGGUUGUAAACCUCUUUCAGCAGGGAAGAAGCGAAAGUGACGGUACCUGCAGAAGAAGCGCCGGCUAACUACGUGCCAGCAGCCGCGGUAAUACGUAGGGCGCAAGCGUUGUCCGGAAUUAUUGGGCGUAAAGAGCUCGUAGGCGGAAGUCACGUCGGGUGUGAAAGCCCGGG
Molecule: ribosomal RNA, 543 nt
Filed under: Streptomyces sp.
Lineage: Bacteria; Bacillati; Actinomycetota; Actinomycetes; Kitasatosporales; Streptomycetaceae
Description: bacterial SSU rRNA
Rfam family: Bacterial small subunit ribosomal RNA
Source: RNAcentral